RNAcentral lists this ribosomal RNA (1581 nucleotides) under Salmonella enterica. RNAcentral describes it as "partial 23S ribosomal RNA". It matches the Rfam family "Bacterial large subunit ribosomal RNA", at positions 1240 to 2803 of the family's 2925-position model. The record is from RNAcentral. Lineage: Bacteria; Pseudomonadati; Pseudomonadota; Gammaproteobacteria; Enterobacterales; Enterobacteriaceae.
UCUGUAAGCCUGUGAAGGUGUGUCGUGAGGCAUGCUGGAGGUAUCAGAAGUGCGAAUGCUGACAUAAGUAACGAUAAAGCGGGUGAAAAGCCCGCUCGCCGGAAGACCAAGGGUUCCUGUCCAACGUUAAUCGGGGCAGGGUGAGUCGACCCCUAAGGCGAGGCCGAAAGGCGUAGUCGAUGGGAAACGGGUUAAUAUUCCCGUACUUGGUGUUACUGCGAAGGGGGGACGGAGAAGGCUAUGUUGGCCGGGCGACGGUUGUCCCGGUUUAAGCGUGUAGGUGUGUGUUCCAGGUAAAUCCGGUUCACUUUAACACUGAGGCGUGACGACGAGGCACUACGGUGCUGAAGCAACAAAUGCCCUGCUUCCAGGAAAAGCCUCUAAGCAUCAGGUAACAUCAAAUCGUACCCCAAACCGACACAGGUGGUCAGGUAGAGAAUACCAAGGCGCUUGAGAGAACUCGGGUGAAGGAACUAGGCAAAAUGGUGCCGUAACUUCGGGAGAAGGCACGCUGACACGUAGGUGAAGUGAUUUACUCAUGGAGCUGAAGUCAGUCGAAGAUACCAGCUGGCUGCAACUGUUUAUUAAAAACACAGCACUGUGCAAACACGAAAGUGGACGUAUACGGUGUGACGCCUGCCCGGUGCCGGAAGGUUAAUUGAUGGGGUCAGCGCAAGCGAAGCUCUUGAUCGAAGCCCCGGUAAACGGCGGCCGUAACUAUAACGGUCCUAAGGUAGCGAAAUUCCUUGUCGGGUAAGUUCCGACCUGCACGAAUGGCGUAAUGAUGGCCAGGCUGUCUCCACCCGAGACUCAGUGAAAUUGAACUCGCUGUGAAGAUGCAGUGUACCCGCGGCAAGACGGAAAGACCCCGUGAACCUUUACUAUAGCUUGACACUGAACAUUGAGCCUUGAUGUGUAGGAUAGGUGGGAGGCUUUGAAGUGUGGACGCCAGUCUGCAUGGAGCCGACCUUGAAAUACCACCCUUUAAUGUUUGAUGUUCUAACGUGGACCCGUGAUCCGGGUUGCGGACAGUGUCUGGUGGGUAGUUUGACUGGGGCGGUCUCCUCCUAAAGAGUAACGGAGGAGCACGAAGGUUGGCUAAUCCUGGUCGGACAUCAGGAGGUUAGUGCAAUGGCAUAAGCCAGCUUGACUGCGAGCGUGACGGCGCGAGCAGGUGCGAAAGCAGGUCAUAGUGAUCCGGUGGUUCUGAAUGGAAGGGCCAUCGCUCAACGGAUAAAAGGUACUCCGGGGAUAACAGGCUGAUACCGCCCAAGAGUUCAUAUCGACGGCGGUGUUUGGCACCUCGAUGUCGGCUCAUCACAUCCUGGGGCUGAAGUAGGUCCCAAGGGUAUGGCUGUUCGCCAUUUAAAGUGGUACGCGAGCUGGGUUUAGAACGUCGUGAGACAGUUCGGUCCCUAUCUGCCGUGGGCGCUGGAGAACUGAGGGGGGCUGCUCCUAGUACGAGAGGACCGGAGUGGACGCAUCACUGGUGUUCGGGUUGUCAUGCCAAUGGCACUGCCCGGUAGCUAAAUGCGGAAGAGAUAAGUGCUGAAAGCAUCUAAGCACGAAACUUGCCCCGAG